Molecule: small nucleolar RNA, 129 nt
Organism: Dasypus novemcinctus (nine-banded armadillo)
Lineage: Eukaryota; Metazoa; Chordata; Mammalia; Cingulata; Dasypodidae
Source: Ensembl
AUACAUCUCUACAGACCUGGAGCAGUUAAUGUCUGCUGCUAAGGUCUCCACUACAGUUGUAAGAAAAAGGUCUUUGCACUUUUUGUCUGUCUGAUUUUGGCACCCGAGAUUGAAUGGGAGAAUACAGGA